This 432-nucleotide ribosomal RNA is filed under the name Mesovelia mulsanti. RNAcentral describes it as "partial 16S ribosomal RNA". The record is from RNAcentral. Lineage: Eukaryota; Metazoa; Arthropoda; Insecta; Hemiptera; Mesoveliidae.
GUUCUAUAGAUUAUAAUUUUAGAUCAGGCCUGCUCUAUGAUUAUUUAAAUGGCUGCGGUAUUUUAACUGUACUAAGGUAGCAUAAUAAUUUGUCUUUUAAUUGAAGGCUAGAAUGAAUGGUCUAAUGAAAAACCUCCUUUAUUAUAUUAAUAUUUUGAAUUUGAAUUUUUAGUUAAAAUGCUAAAAUUUUUUUAUAGGACGAGAAGACCCUAUAGAAUUUUAUUUAUAUUACUUAUUUAAUAAUAUUGUAGUUAUAUUUUAUUAUUUAAUAUUAAAUUUGGUUGGGGUGAUUUAAAAAUUUAUUUAACUUUUUAUUUAUUUUACAUUAAUUAUUGUUUUUUUGAUCCUAAAUUUUAGAUUAUAAGAUUAAAUUACCUUAGGGAUAACAGCGUAAUUUAUUUGGAGAGUUCUGAUCGAUAAAUAAGUUUGCGA